Molecule: long non-coding RNA, 254 nt
Filed under: Vitis vinifera (wine grape)
Lineage: Eukaryota; Viridiplantae; Streptophyta; Magnoliopsida; Vitales; Vitaceae
Description: long non-coding RNA (VVIN_LNC005241)
Source: RNAcentral
UCUUUUUGAUUCCAUGAGAGCUGAGUACAUUGAUACAGACAAUAUACAGAUCUGCAGGACAGGAUUGGUAUACAAAUAGUAUAUCACCAAUGAAAGAAACAGGAAAAGGAGGAAAAGAAGUAGAAUGAUUCACUGAUAGAACUGAUUUCACGUGGCAAAAUCACUGGUAAUAAUACUCCAUAAGCAGUAGGUAGGAGGGUAUAUAGAAGCAUCAAUCAACAGAAACAGGUUGCAUGUUUUCGGCUUCUUUCCUC